GCUUAGUUCAUUGACGAAUUAUGGAACAACAGGCCCCUGGAAACAGACAUAUAAGCCCCCCCACCACCACCUGUCCUGUAUAGGAGCAAGACCCCAAGACUGAAAGAAAAACAAAAUGACUGGAUGUAUCUCUUUGAGACCACUUCAAGUUCUGACAUAUUUUCAGGGCUGUUGUGCAGGCACAAGAUCGACCCACAGGUUUUCAGUGACAUUCAGGUGAGGGGAAAGCGAGGGCCGCUCCAUAAGCUUCAGCUUGUGUUUCUAGAUGUAGCUCAUGAUGGAUUUUUUCAGGUCUGCUUUGGAUCACUGUCCUGCCUGCCUCUUUUCGCUCUCACUUUCUUGACUGCAGGAUAUUUGCAGACAGUUUGCUGAUGUUUAGUGAAGUCCAUUCUUUCCUCUGUCUGUGCAGCGUUUCCUGCACCCUGAGGCAGAAUAUUUCCACUCAUCCCCAUGCUUAAUAGUUGGCAAAGGACAGAUUACCAAAUGCUGGCUUAGUAGGGUGCCAAAGCUUUUGCAUGUGCCACAAUUCCUGUUUAGCAGUUUUUCUGUCUUUUAAGUUCAUGAAAUAAAAAGUAUCAGUACAUUAA
This is a long non-coding RNA of Lates calcarifer (barramundi perch), 587 nucleotides long. RefSeq lists it as uncharacterized. The transcript has 2 exons. Lineage: Eukaryota; Metazoa; Chordata; Actinopteri; Centropomidae. The record is from RefSeq and is a predicted model, not a curated record.